RNAcentral lists this ribosomal RNA (497 nucleotides) under uncultured bacterium. Its description in RNAcentral is "partial 16S ribosomal RNA". It matches the Rfam family "Bacterial small subunit ribosomal RNA", at positions 28 to 507 of the family's 1533-position model. The record is from RNAcentral.
GAUGAACGCUGGCGGCGUGCCUAAUACAUGCAAGUCGAGCGAACAGACGAGGAGCUUGCUCCUCUGACGUUAGCGGCGGACGGGUGAGUAACACGUGGAUAACCUACCUAUAAGACUGGGAUAACUUCGGGAAACCGGAGCUAAUACCGGAUAAUAUAUUGAACCGCAUGGUUCAAUAGUGAAAGACGGUUUUACUGUCACUUAUAGAUGGAUCCGCGCCGCAUUAGCUAGUUGGUAAGGUAACGGCUUACCAAGGCAACGAUGCGUAGCCGACCUGAGAGGGUGAUCGGCCACACUGGAACUGAGACACGGUCCAGACUCCUACGGGAGGCAGCAGUAGGGAAUCUUCCGCAAAGGGCGAAAGCCUGACGGAGCAACGCCGCGUGAGUGAUGAAGGUCUUCGGAUCGUAAAACUCUGUUAUUAGGGAAGAACAAAUGUGUAAGUAACUAUGCACGUCUUGACGGUACCUAAUCAGAAAGCCACGGCUAACUACGUG